AGGAUCUACCUAGUAGUACGGAAUAAUUGUUGGAAACGACAACUAAUACCGUAUACGCCCUACGGGGGAAAAAUUUAUUGCUAUUAGAUGAGCCUAUAUUAGAUUAGCUAGUUGGUGGGGUAAUAGCCUACCAAGGUAAUGAUCUAUAGCUGAUCUGAGAGGAUGAUCAGCCACACUGGAACUGAGAUACGGUCCAGACUCCUACGGGAGGCAGCAGUGGGGAAUAUUGGACAAUGGGCGAAAGCCUGAUCCAGCCAUGCCGCAUGAGUGAAGAAGGCCUUUGGGUUGUAAAGCUCUUUUAGUGAGGAAGAUAAUGACGGUACUCACAGAAGAAGUCCUGGCUAACUCCGUGCCAGCAGCCGCGGUAAUACGGAGAGGGCUAGCGUUAUUCGGAAUUAUUGGGCGUAAAGGGCGCGUAGGCUGGUUAAUAAGUUAAAAGUGAAAUCCCGAGGCUUAACCUUGGAAUUGCUUUUAAAACUAUUAAUCUAGAGAUUGAAAGAGGAUAGGGGAAUUCCUGAUGUAGAGGUAAAAUUCGUAAAUAUUAGGAGGAACACCAGUGGCGAAGGCGUCUAUCUGGUUCAAAUCUGACGCUGAAGCGCGAAGGCGUGGGGAGCAAACAGGAUUAGAUACCCUGGUAGUCCACGCUGUAAACGAUGAAUGUUAAAUAUGGGGAGUUUACUUUCUGUAUUACAGCUAACGCGUUAAACAUUCCGCCUGGGGACUACGGUCGCAAGAUUAAAACUCAAAGGAAUUGACGGGGACCCGCACAAGCGGUGGAGCAUGUGGUUUAAUUCGAUGCAACGCGAAAAACCUUACCACUUCUUGAC
This 827-nucleotide ribosomal RNA is filed under the name Wolbachia pipientis. RNAcentral's name for it is "bacterial SSU rRNA". It matches the Rfam family "Bacterial small subunit ribosomal RNA", at positions 119 to 985 of the family's 1533-position model. Lineage: Bacteria; Pseudomonadati; Pseudomonadota; Alphaproteobacteria; Rickettsiales; Anaplasmataceae. The record is from RNAcentral.